Molecule: long non-coding RNA, 561 nt
Organism: Nematolebias whitei (Rio pearlfish)
Lineage: Eukaryota; Metazoa; Chordata; Actinopteri; Cyprinodontiformes; Rivulidae
Exons: 4
Source: RefSeq, a predicted model, not a curated record
GAUGACGUGUAACCGGAAGGCUUUCUGAACUGUAGCUAGCUUUAGCAUAACUCUCCCUAAACGCUCACGCUUGUUCUUUACAGUUCAGUAUGACAUCUGCAGAUUUAUUACCUAGCUGUCUGAUAAAACACAACAUAAGAUAAAAAGACCAACAGCACAGGUUUGGGUUAUUACAGCCAUUUGAUCAAGAGCGAUGGGUAAGAGGAGGGUGCCGGAUCUGUACAGAGCCCCCUUUCCACUGUACACCGUUAAAGUGGACCCUGCUACAGGGCUGGUGAUCACAGCCGGAGGAGGGGGGGCGUCGAAGACUGGCAUAAAGAAUGCUGUGGUAAACCACAGGAGAAUGACUAGUGAACUGCUGAAGAAUGUUGCAUUCAGAGUAUCACAAAGUAUCCAUGGUGUUGGGGAGCUCCAUGAAAGAUUGACCGGUCCUUGUUCUGAAAAGCUUUUCAACUUUCUGGACCAGACUGAAGGCUUCUGUAUUUUCUGAGGUCUAAGGUCAACGCAGCCGUCUACCAGGAAGUUUUAGAGAACUUCAUGCUUCUUGCUGCUGACCAACUU